Molecule: long non-coding RNA, 100 nt
Organism: Octopus sinensis (East Asian common octopus)
Lineage: Eukaryota; Metazoa; Mollusca; Cephalopoda; Octopoda; Octopodidae
Exons: 4
Source: RefSeq, a predicted model, not a curated record
UGGACGGGGAAUCACUCGGCUCGUCCGUCAAUGAAGAGCGCGGCUAUCCGCGUGAACUGAUGCGAAUUGAAAAGACCUGGAAGAGCGUCGUGUAAGGAAA